This 353-nucleotide ribosomal RNA is filed under the name uncultured Vibrio sp. Its description in RNAcentral is "bacterial SSU rRNA". It matches the Rfam family "Bacterial small subunit ribosomal RNA", at positions 506 to 857 of the family's 1533-position model. Lineage: Bacteria; Pseudomonadati; Pseudomonadota; Gammaproteobacteria; Vibrionales; Vibrionaceae. The record is from RNAcentral.
UGCCCAGCAGCCGCGGUAAUACGGAGGGUGCGAGCGUUAAUCGGAAUUACUGGGCGUAAAGCGCAUGCAGGUGGUUUGUUAAGUCAGAUGUGAAAGCCCGGGGCUCAACCUCGGAACUGCAUUUGAAACUGGCAAACUAGAGUACUGUAGAGGGGGGUAGAAUUUCAGGUGUAGCGGUGAAAUGCGUAGAGAUCUGAAGGAAUACCAGUGGCGAAGGCGGCCCCCUGGACAGAUACUGACACUCAGAUGCGAAAGCGUGGGGAGCAAACAGGAUUAGAUACCCUGGUAGUCCACGCCGUAAACGAUGUCUACUUGGAGGUUGUGGCCUUGAGCCGUGGCUUUCGGAGCUAACG